CCUACGGGAGGCAGCAGUGAGGAAUAUUGGUCAAUGGGCGCGAGCCUGAACCAGCCAAGUAGCGUGAAGGAUGACUGCCCUACGGGUUGUAAACUUCUUUUAUAAAGGAAUAAAGUGAGGCACGUGUGCCUUUUUGUAUGUACUUUAUGAAUAAGGAUCGGCUAACUCCGUGCCAUCAGCCGCGGUAAUACGGAGGAUCCGAGCGUUAUCCGGAUUUAUUGGGUUUAAAGGGAGCGUAGAUGGGUUGUUAAGUCAGUUGUGAAAGUGUGCGGCUCAACCGUAAAAUUGCAAUUGAUACUGGCAGUCUUGAGUACAGUUGAGGUAGGCGGAAUUCGUGGUGUAGCGGUGAAAUGCUUAGAUAUCACGAAGAACUCCGAUUGCGAAGGCAGCUUACUAAACUGCCACUGACAUUGAUGCUCGAAAGUGUGGGUAUCAAACAGGAUUAGAUACCCGAGUAGUC
This 460-nucleotide ribosomal RNA is filed under the name uncultured bacterium. Its description in RNAcentral is "partial 16S ribosomal RNA". It matches the Rfam family "Bacterial small subunit ribosomal RNA", at positions 338 to 795 of the family's 1533-position model. The record is from RNAcentral.